CUGGCCAGCUCGUUUGUAGACAUCAAGGGUGGUGACAGCUUCAUGUCUUGGCAUCUCAAAGAACUUAUCCACAAGAUUGAUAAUUCCAUCAUUAAUAGCGCAGUAUAUUUUAAAGCUCUCUUUCAACACCAGUGCUAGAGCAUACUGUAUAACAUAAUUGCCAACAGCUGCACCUUCAGGCCGGCAACCAACAAGACGAUACAGCAGCUGCUGCAAUCCAGGCAACUGAUCCAACAAUUCUUCACUAUCCAAUUCCCUGGUUCUGCUGUAGCCCUUAUCCUGCCCUUGGGCAGGUCUCAGAAGACGCUCAGCUUCAAUGUCAUACUUCAGAAUUCUAAAGCAUUCAAGCCGCUCCUCCAAAAAUAAAGCAUAUGUGCGUACCCAGGCAGAGCAAUCCCAAGCAAUAGGGCUUGAAUCAUCCUUGAAAUUGGAAAGUUGGAGGAUGCGUCCUCUCUGUGAGAAAUUAAGUAGUUCUUCUCUGAAAUUAGGAUCACCCUCUCUUAAUAAUCUAUGG
RNAcentral lists this unclassified non-coding RNA (514 nucleotides) under Hevea brasiliensis (rubber tree). The record is from RNAcentral. Lineage: Eukaryota; Viridiplantae; Streptophyta; Magnoliopsida; Malpighiales; Euphorbiaceae.